AGAGUUUGAUCCUGGCUCAGAUUGAACGCUGGCGGCAUGCCUAACACAUGCAAGUCGAACGGCAGCACAGUGGAGCUUGCUCCAUGGGUGGCGAGUGGCGGACGGGUGAGUAAUGCAUCGGGACCUACCUAGACGUGGGGGAUAACGUAGGGAAACUUACGCUAAUACCGCAUACGUCCUACGGGAGAAAGCAGGGGACCUUCGGGCCUUGCGCGGUUAGACGGACCGAUGUUCGAUUAGCUUGUUGGUGAGGUAAUGGCUCACCAAGGCGACGAUCGAUAGCUGGUCUGA
Molecule: ribosomal RNA, 291 nt
Filed under: uncultured Rhodanobacter sp.
Lineage: Bacteria; Pseudomonadati; Pseudomonadota; Gammaproteobacteria; Lysobacterales; Rhodanobacteraceae
Description: partial 16S ribosomal RNA
Rfam family: Bacterial small subunit ribosomal RNA
Source: RNAcentral